RNAcentral lists this ribosomal RNA (253 nucleotides) under uncultured bacterium. Its description in RNAcentral is "partial 16S ribosomal RNA". It matches the Rfam family "Bacterial small subunit ribosomal RNA", at positions 524 to 776 of the family's 1533-position model. The record is from RNAcentral.
UACGAAGGGGGCUAGCGUUGCUCGGAAUCACUGGGCGUAAAGGGUGCGUAGGCGGGUUCUUAAGUCAGAGGUGAAAUCCUGGAGCUCAACUCCAGAACUGCCUUUGAUACUGAGAGUCUUGAGUUCGGGAGAGGUGAGUGGAACUGCGAGUGUAGAGGUGAAAUUCGUAGAUAUUCGCAAGAACACCAGUGGCGAAGGCGGCUCACUGGCCCGAUACUGACGCUGAUGCACGAAAGCGUGGGGAGCAAACAGG